AUACGAAGGGCCCAAGCGUUGCGCGGAAUUAUUGGGCUUAAAGGGUGCGUAGGCGGACCCGCAAGUGCCUUGUGAAAGCCCUCGGCUCAACCGAGGAAUUGCUUGGUAGACUGCAGGUCUUGAGCUCGGCAGGGGCGGUCGGAACUCUAGGUGGAGCGGUGAAAUGCGUAGAUAUCUAGAGGAACGCCAAAGGUGAAGACAGACCGCUGGGCCGAUGCUGACGCUGAGGCACGAAAGCGUGGGUAGCGAACGGGAUUAGAAACCCCGGUAGUCC
Molecule: ribosomal RNA, 274 nt
Filed under: uncultured bacterium
Lineage: Bacteria
Description: partial 16S ribosomal RNA
Rfam family: Bacterial small subunit ribosomal RNA
Source: RNAcentral